This 116-nucleotide ribosomal RNA is filed under the name Pteropus alecto (black flying fox). The record is from RNAcentral. Lineage: Eukaryota; Metazoa; Chordata; Mammalia; Chiroptera; Pteropodidae.
GCCUAUGACCAUGGCACCCUAAACAAGCCUGAUAUCUGAUCUUGGAAGCUAAGCAGGGUCAGCCCUGGUUAGUACUUGGAUAGGAGACCACCUAAGAAGACCAAGUGCUGUAGGCA